RNAcentral lists this long non-coding RNA (215 nucleotides) under Lathyrus oleraceus (garden pea). RNAcentral's name for it is "Pisum sativum (pea) long non-coding RNA (PSAT_LNC017167)". Lineage: Eukaryota; Viridiplantae; Streptophyta; Magnoliopsida; Fabales; Fabaceae. The record is from RNAcentral.
UCGCAUGGAAGAUUAUCCACAACCGGUUACUGGGUUAAUAACGGAUAAAUCCACCGAAAAGAAAGGUAUUGGGAUACCAAACUAGGUAUAAAAUGAUGACCAAUCAAAGGGAACAACAACAUUACCAACAAGAGGGUAAAUGAAAGGCGAUCUGCUGAGGAUUCACUGGUGAGAAUCAAUUAUCCGGGGGUGAAUUGCAUAAACAGCAAUUAUCC